RNAcentral lists this ribosomal RNA (283 nucleotides) under Polymixia nobilis. Its description in RNAcentral is "partial 28S ribosomal RNA". It matches the Rfam family "Eukaryotic large subunit ribosomal RNA", at positions 57 to 328 of the family's 3401-position model. The record is from RNAcentral. Lineage: Eukaryota; Metazoa; Chordata; Actinopteri; Polymixiiformes; Polymixiidae.
AAAAGAAACUAACCAGGAUUCCCUCAGUAGCGGCGAGCGAAGAGGGAAGAGCCCAGCGCCGAAUCCCCGCCCGCCCGUCGGGCGAGGGAAAUGUGGCGUACGGAAGACCGCUUGCCCGGCGUCGACAGGGGGCCCGAGUCCUUCUGAUCGAGGCUCAACCCGCGGACGGUGUGAGGCCGGUGGCGGCCCUCGUCGCGCCGGGGUCCGGUCUUCUCGGAGUCGGGUUGCUUGGGAAUGCAGCCCAAAGCGGGUGGUAAACUCCAUCUAAGGCUAAAUACUGGCA